This 1415-nucleotide long non-coding RNA is filed under the name Homo sapiens (human). RNAcentral's name for it is "HSALNT0296012". The record is from RNAcentral. Lineage: Eukaryota; Metazoa; Chordata; Mammalia; Primates; Hominidae.
CCCAUCUGGACUUGGGAAAGAGUAGAAUCAUGGGGAGUCCUCUGCCAGCAGCCUGGAUUUGGAUCCCAGCUCUGACACUCCUGGCUGUGCGGUCCUGGUCAGGUUUCUUACCCUCUCUGUGCCUGCUUCCUCAUCUCUGAAGUGGGCCAUAACACCUACUACAAGGGGUUAAUGUAAACUUUAAAUGUGAUGAUCCACGUAAAUCUCUCAACACCCUGCCUGUCGCAGCUCAGUGAACGAUACGUGGGGUCACCUUAUGAUUCUCGGGAGGGAAGGUGUUUGAGUCCCUCAAACCAGAGGCUUGGAGGGUGAAGGUUGAGUAGGGGAACAGGAGGGGGCCUCUGCAUGAGAAGAAGCAAGCCUGCAGCAGGGGUGCUCCAGGGUCCCCCUCAGUGAGUGCACUGUGGGCCCCCAGGGCAGAGCAGGGGUCCAGGAGUGGUCUCAUUUCACCCCCUUGAGGGGUAUAUGCAAUCUCUUGGGUAUAUGCAAUGGGCCCAUUGCUGCUGUGGCUGGAAGGGGUUGGGGGAGCAUGGGCCAGGCUCAGGUGCCCUGCCCCUCAGGGACAAAGGCUUAGAUGGGAACUAGCCUGGAGGCCAGGCUGGGGCUCUGGGCUCCUGGUCUGGCCUGUGUUCCCUUCUCAGAGGCAAAGGAUGGUCAAGCCAAAACCUUCCUCUUCCUGCCAGGACCCCCAUCUCAUCUGUCCCCUCCCGGGGCCACCCACUGAUCUCCCCUGACCCCACCCUGGCUUCCAGCCCCUGGGCUGACCAGCUGAUGCCUCCUCCGCACUCUGGCCCUACCCUGAGGACCUUUGGGAAAACAGAACCUACCCACCCUUCCAGCCAGCUAACCUCCCAGCCAGCCAGAAGUGGGUGGGGAUGAGAGUCAGCUCCUCCUCAUGCUCCUCAGUCCUUCAGUCCAUCUCAAAGUCCCCCAGGUGAACCGUGUCCUCUAGAAGUUGGCUGGGAGGAGGUGACAGGGACAGGACUUGGGUGGGUAGGGGCUGACAGGAAUGGGAGGAAGGACCUUUUCUCGGCCCAACAACAGCUCAACCUAUAUGGCACUUCCUCCCUGGGCCUUAACUCGACUCCUUCCUGCAACAAGUUUUGUCCAUGCCACCACGCCAUAGGCUCUGUGAACAGAUCCAGGGCAGAAGGAUGGCUGGGGAGUCCUUGUGUGUCUCAGGAGAUGAGGCUCACCCAGGGACAAGGGUGAUGAGCCUGGCUUCAGACAGACUGAGCUGCAGUUGGAGCACAGGGGCCCCACGCCAGGGCCAGAGCUGAGGGUCAGGGAAGAGGGGAGUGUGGAGACCGAGAGAUGAGGCAGAGGCAUAUGGAGGGCUCGGGGUCCUGACCAGGGCCCUGGCUGCCAACCACACUGAGGGAGAAGGGAUGACUCUAUUUGGGAGUGGGGAUGUG